GAGGGGGACGCCGAAGGUGGGGCUGAUGACUGGGGUGAAGUCGUAACAAGGUAGCCGUACCGGAAGGUGUGGCUGGAUCACCUCCUUAAGGGAGACCUUACCCACUUUCAGCCGAAAGCAAAAAGCGAUUAAGCGAAAGCCUGGUCAACCGAGGUCGUUCGAGGAAUUGAUGAGGCUUCCAGACUAGCGUCUAGUUCUUUUACAGAUUGGAUCAAUCAUUUCUAGUCUGUAGAGAAAAGACUGUUGAUAAGGCAGUGGGCUAUUAGCUCAGGUGGUUAGAGCGCACCCCUGAUAAGGGUGAGGUCCCUGGUUCGAGUCCAGGAUGGCCCACCUUCACAGUAGAUGCAUCAGCACCUAUCGCCAAACCUUCCAACAAAACGAGCACCUCAGCACCCACAAGCAAGACACAGUUCUUUCUGCUUAGGACUGCUGAGCCUAGCUCAGCGAGAACCUUGAA
RNAcentral lists this unclassified non-coding RNA (457 nucleotides) under Leptolyngbya sp. C1-a. RNAcentral's name for it is "partial contains 16S ribosomal RNA and 16S-23S ribosomal RNA intergenic spacer". The stretch from base 1 to 88 matches the Rfam family "Bacterial small subunit ribosomal RNA", at positions 1446 to 1533 of the family's 1533-position model. Lineage: Bacteria; Bacillati; Cyanobacteriota; Cyanophyceae; Leptolyngbyales; Leptolyngbyaceae. The record is from RNAcentral.